Molecule: ribosomal RNA, 443 nt
Filed under: uncultured bacterium
Lineage: Bacteria
Description: partial 16S ribosomal RNA
Rfam family: Bacterial small subunit ribosomal RNA
Source: RNAcentral
CCUACGGGUGGCUGCAGUGAGGAAUAUUGGGCAAUGGGCGCAAGCCUGACCCAGCAACUCCGCGUGAAGGAAGAAGGCCCUCUGGUUGUUCACUCCUUUUUUCAGGUACGACGCAAGUGACGGUACCUGUCGAAUAAGCCACGGCUAACCACGUGCCAGCAGCCGCGGUAAUACGUAGGUGACAAGCGUUAUCCGGAUUUACGGGGUGGAAAGGGGUUGUAGGCGGGGAAGCAAGUCAGAUGUGAAAUUCCAGGGCUCAACCCUGGAACUGCAUUUGAAACUGGUUGUCGUGAGUGAUGGAGAGGCAGGCGGAAUUCCGUGUGUAGCGGUGAAAUGCGUAGAUAUACGGAGGAACACCAGUGGCGAAGGCGGCCUGCUGGACAUUAACUGACGCUGAGGCGCGAAAGCGUGGGGAGCAAACAGGAUUAGAUACCCCAGUAGUC